RNAcentral lists this ribosomal RNA (373 nucleotides) under uncultured organism. RNAcentral's name for it is "partial 16S ribosomal RNA". It matches the Rfam family "Bacterial small subunit ribosomal RNA", at positions 527 to 896 of the family's 1533-position model. The record is from RNAcentral.
GUAGGUGGCAAGCGUUGUCCGGAAUUAUUGGGCGUAAAGCGCGCGCAGGAGGUUCUUUAAGUCUGAUGUGAAAGCCCCCGGGCUCAACCGGGGAGGGUCAUUGGAAACUGGGGAACUUGAGUGCAGGAGAGGAAAGUGGAAUUCCACGUGUAGCGGUGAAAUGCGUAGAUAUGUGGAGGAACACCAGUGGCGAAGGCGACUUUCUGGCCUGUAACUGACACUGAGGCGCGAAAGCGUGGGGAGCAAACAGGAUUAGAUACCCUGGUAGUCCACGCCGUAAACGAUGAGUGCUAAGUGUUGGGGGGUUUCCGCCCCUCAGUGCUGCAGCUAACGCAUUAAGCACUCCGCCUGGGGAGUACGGUCGCAAAGACUG